UACAGAGGUCUCAAGCGUUGUUCGGAUUCAUUGGGCGUAAAGGGUGCGUAGGUGGCGCGCUAAGUCGGGUGUGAAAUGCCGGGGCUCAACCUCGGCACUGCAUUCGAUACUGGCGUGCUUGAGGACUGGAGAGGAGACUGGAAUUCAUGGUGUAGCAGUGAAAUGCGUAGAUAUCAUGAGGAAGACCAGUGGCGAAGGCGGGUCUCUGGACAGUUCCUGACACUGAGGCACGAAGGCCAGGGGAGCAAAC
Molecule: ribosomal RNA, 250 nt
Filed under: uncultured prokaryote
Description: partial 16S ribosomal RNA
Rfam family: Bacterial small subunit ribosomal RNA
Source: RNAcentral